ACGGGAGGCAGCAGUGGGGAAUAUUGGACAAUGGGGGAAACCCUGAUCCAGCGACGCCGCGUGGGUGAAGAAGGCCUGCGGGUUGUAAAGCCCUUUCGGUAGGGACGAAAGCUCUUGCCUUAAUACGGCAGGAGGUUGACUUAACCUACAUAAGAAGCACCGGCUAACUCUGUGCCAGCAGCCGCGGUAAUACAGAGGGUGCGAGCGUUAAUCGGAAUUACUGGGCGUAAAGCGCACGUAGUCGGCUUUGCAAGUCGGGUGUGAAAUCCCCGGGCUCAACCUGGGAACUGCAUCCGAGACUGCAUUGCUAGAGUAUGGGAGAGGGAAGCGGAAUUUCUGGUGUAGCAGUGAAAUGCGUAGAUAUCAGAAGGAACAUCAGUGGCGAAGGCGGCUUCCUGGACCAAUACUGACGAUCAGGUGCGAAAGCGUGGGGAGCAAACAGGAUUAGAUACCCUGGUA
Molecule: ribosomal RNA, 459 nt
Filed under: uncultured Lysobacterales bacterium
Lineage: Bacteria; Pseudomonadati; Pseudomonadota; Gammaproteobacteria; Lysobacterales
Description: bacterial SSU rRNA
Rfam family: Bacterial small subunit ribosomal RNA
Source: RNAcentral